This 389-nucleotide ribosomal RNA is filed under the name uncultured bacterium. Its description in RNAcentral is "bacterial SSU rRNA". It matches the Rfam family "Bacterial small subunit ribosomal RNA", at positions 30 to 420 of the family's 1533-position model. The record is from RNAcentral.
AUUGAACGCUGGCGGCAUGCCUUACACAUGCAAGUCGAACGGCAGCACGGGAGCAAUCCUGGUGGCGAGUGGCGAACGGGUGAGUAAUAUAUCGGAACGUGCCCAGUCGUGGGGAUAACGUAGCGAAAGCUACGCUAAUACCGCAUACGAUCUAUGGAUGAAAGCGGGGGAUCGCAAGACCUCGCGCGAUUGGAGCGGCCGAUAUCAGAUUAGGUAGUUGGUGAGGUAAAGGCUCACCAAGCCGACGAUCUGUAGCUGGUCUGAGAGGACGACCAGCCACACUGGGACUGAGACACGGCCCAGACUCCUACGGGAGGCAGCAGUGGGGAAUUUUUGGACAAUGGGCGAAGCCUGAUCCAGCAAUGCCGCGUGCAGGAAGAAGGCCUCGG